Molecule: long non-coding RNA, 705 nt
Filed under: Zea mays
Lineage: Eukaryota; Viridiplantae; Streptophyta; Magnoliopsida; Poales; Poaceae
Description: long non-coding RNA (ZMAY_LNC005494)
Source: RNAcentral
UUCUGGCAGUGGCUCUUCAUCGUCUAGUGGUAUGAUCAAGCUGGCAUUGUGUAGUCCUUCAAUAGUUCCAAAAUUUCUUCAGGGUGCAGACUUUUUACAUUUACAGGUUCUGAGUCGAGGAGCUCAGGGGAUAGUGCCUCAGGAGCUGGCAAUGCACAUUCUUUGACUUAGGGGAGGUUGGUAACAAUAGUAUUUGAAAAUCUGAAUGAUCCGAGUUCGUGUUCUUGGGUGGUUUGUGGCUGUGCAGGGCUAGAGGUAAUUGUAAGUAUGUAGCUGUUUCUGAGACAUGGGUGUCUGUUUAGGCUUCGAUUACGUUAGUAGUAGAUAACAAACUGGCUUUGUGGGUGUCUGACAGCAGUACAGCACCAUGUGUAUGUAAGCUGGAGGUGGAAGGUACUGGUGUAGUGGUGUGAGCUGACCGACCUUCUCGUAUGAAGGGGGCCAGGGCUAGUGUCUGUGUUCUUAAUGGUAGGGUUGUUCUGGUGCAGAUCUCUCAUGUAAUUGAUGCUUUGUGCAUGACAUUAAAGUAUGGUUUUAUAAGUAACAAUGCAGUAUCAUUUGUUGGGUGACGACUUUUGAUGUAAGAGUUAUUUCUGCAUUUUGGAUAGGCCUACGCAAGAUAAAUUUCAACGACCAUGCAAAUUUGUGUUGACUGUUGAGUUUGUUCUGGUGGUGUUGCUGGAUCUAUGAAAAUUACCAUCCUUU